CCCCACCCUGAGCAUGUUUUGACCACGGAACUAGGCAGGCUUCAAGGAGCCAGGCUUUCCUGCCUGCCAACUGAAAUUUUGCCAGUGCUGAUUUUACACAUUCCUAUUAGUUUUUAACAAGUAUUUACUUUAGUUAUUAAAUAGCAACUGCAAGGCCAUAAACUUACAGAUCAUGUGACUGGAAGUUGAUGCUAUAAUUUUCUAAGGGUCUUUAUGUAGAACCAGCUUCCUAACCUUUCAUUAACCCCUGUCCUUGGUCAACUACUGCACAAUAAUUAAUUGAGCAUUUCCUGUGUGCAAAACCCCAUAGUAGAUCCUAUAGAAGGCAUAAAAAAGUCCAAUCCUCUUCCCUUGAGCCAGGAAAGGAGGAAGCGAGUACUGUGCUGACUCCAUCAAGCCUUUUGCUGGGAACCUCUCACUGCUCAGGCCUCAUUGUUCUCUACCCCAUUAUCAUCUGCCUUCCAACCAGCAGGGACUUCUCAGUUCCAGGCAGAAGUAGUGGAAAACCUGAAGAACUGGAAUAAUUGCCUCACCUCUCCGGUUCACUUUAAUCUUGGAGUCCCUGCUGCAGGCAGAUGUGGAAAUGGUCGCCUAUUAAGCAGGAAAAAAGAAGUUAACUGAAAAGAGAUCUUCGUCCCAAUCGCUGUGAGAAGCAACUCUGACUUAGCUCCAAAGGAGUUGCCGUUGCUGCCUUUGAACCUGGCCCAGAGGUGACCCCUCUCCAGCAGGCUACAUCCUCUCUCAUGGGAUGGUAAGGCCUCAGAAACUGUGGCUGAAGGAGCGAACAAAUGAAUGGAUCCCAUGGAAAUUCUGGAAUGAAUGAAUCCCAUGGAAAUCCCGUGGGAGACUUCAAACAUGUGCAGAAGUGAACAG
This 873-nucleotide long non-coding RNA is filed under the name Heterocephalus glaber (naked mole-rat). RNAcentral describes it as "lncRNA (ENSHGLG00000031957.1)". Lineage: Eukaryota; Metazoa; Chordata; Mammalia; Rodentia; Bathyergidae. The record is from RNAcentral.